GACGAACGCUGGCGGCGUGCUUAACACAUGCAAGUCGAACGGAAAGGCCCUGCUUUUGUGGGGUGCUCGAGUGGCGAACGGGUGAGUAACACGUGAGUAACCUGCCCUUUACUUUGGGAUAACUUCAGGAAACUGGGGCUAAUACCGGAUAGGAGCUCCUGCUUCAUGGUGUGGGUUGGAAAGUUUCGGCGGUUGGGGAUGGACUCGCGGCUUAUCAGCUUGUUGGUGGGGUAGUGGCUUACCAAGGCUUUGACGGGUAGCCGGCCUGAGAGGGUGACCGGCCCCAUUGGGACUGAGAUACGGCCCAGACUCCUACGGGAGGCAGCAGUGGGGAAUAUUGCACAAUGGGCGGAAGCCUGAUGCAGCAACGCCGCGUGCGGGAUGACGGCAUUCGGGUUGUAAACCGCUUUCGCCUGUGACGAAGCGUGAGUGACGGUAAUGGGUAAAGAAGCACCGGCUAACUACGUG
This 468-nucleotide ribosomal RNA is filed under the name uncultured bacterium. RNAcentral describes it as "partial 16S ribosomal RNA". It matches the Rfam family "Bacterial small subunit ribosomal RNA", at positions 28 to 507 of the family's 1533-position model. The record is from RNAcentral.